RNAcentral lists this ribosomal RNA (253 nucleotides) under uncultured bacterium. RNAcentral's name for it is "partial 16S ribosomal RNA". It matches the Rfam family "Bacterial small subunit ribosomal RNA", at positions 524 to 776 of the family's 1533-position model. The record is from RNAcentral.
UACGUAGGGGGCCAGCGUUGCUCGGAAUUACUGGGCGUAAAGGGUUCGUAGGUGGUGCGGCAAGUUGGGAGUGAAAUCUCUGGGCUUAACCCAGAGGCUGCUUUCAAAACUGCCGCGCUCGAGUGCGAGAGAGGUCAGUGGAAUUGCAGGUGUAGCGGUGAAAUGCGUAGAUAUCUGCAGGAACACCCGUGGCGAAGGCGGCUGACUGGAUCGCAACUGACACUGAGGAACGAAAGCUAGGGGAGCAAACAGG